GGCUCAGGAUGAACGCUAGCGGCAGGCUUAAUACAUGCAAGUCGAGGGGCAGCACGAAUAGCAAUAUUUGGUGGCGACCGGCGCACGGGUGCGUAACACGUAUACAACCUACCUAUAACAGGGGGAUAGCCUUUCGAAAGAGAGAUUAAUACCCCGUAAUAAAUUGAGUGGCAUCACUUGAUUUUGAAAGCUACGGCGGUUAUAGAUGGGUAUGCGUCUGAUUAGCUAGUUGGUGAGGUAACGGCUCACCAAGGCGACGAUCAGUAGGGGAUCUGAGAGGACUAACCCCCACACUGGUACUGAGACACGGACCAGACUCCUACGGGAGGCAGCAGUAAGGAAUAUUGGUCAAUGGAGGCAACUCUGAACCAGCCAUGCCGCGUGCAGGAUGACGGCCCUAUGGGUUGUAAACUGCUUUUGUACCAGAGAAAACCUACUCACGUGUGAGUAGCUGAUAGUAUGGUAAGAAUAAGCAUCGGCUAACUUCGUG
This 490-nucleotide ribosomal RNA is filed under the name uncultured bacterium. RNAcentral's name for it is "bacterial SSU rRNA". It matches the Rfam family "Bacterial small subunit ribosomal RNA", at positions 21 to 507 of the family's 1533-position model. The record is from RNAcentral.